This 460-nucleotide ribosomal RNA is filed under the name uncultured bacterium. Its description in RNAcentral is "partial 16S ribosomal RNA". It matches the Rfam family "Bacterial small subunit ribosomal RNA", at positions 338 to 795 of the family's 1533-position model. The record is from RNAcentral.
CCUACGGGUGGCAGCAGUGGGGAAUAUUGGUCAAUGGGCGCGAGCCUGAACCAGCCAAGUCGCGUGAAGGAUGACUGCCCUACGGGUUGUAAACUUCUUUUAUAAAGGAAUAAAGUGAGGCACGUGUGCCUUUUUGUAUGUACUUUAUGAAUAAGGAUCGGCUAACUCCGUGCCAGCAGCCGCGGUAAUACGGAGGGUCCGAGCGUUAUCCGGAUUUAUUGGGGUUAAAGGGAGCGUAGAUGGGUUGUUAAGUCAGUUGUGAAAGUUUGCGGCUCAACCGUAAAAUUGCAAUUGAUACUGGUAGUCUUGAGUACAGGUGAGGUAGGCGGAAUUCGUGGUGUAGCGGUGAAAUGCGUAGAUAUCACGAAGAACUCCGAUUGCGAAGGCAGAUUACUAAACUGCCACUGACAUUGAUGCUCGAAAGUGUGGGUAUCAAACAGGAUUAGAUACCCGAGUAGUC